UGCCCCCUUUGCACUUUGCCAAUUGGACUUAUGCCUUAAUUGGUGGGGGCAAAGGAAAUAUCCUUUUAAAACUCAGGCAAACUGGUGUUUGUCUUGUAUCCUGUCAAAGGAAACAAAU
This is a small nucleolar RNA of Otolemur garnettii (small-eared galago), 118 nucleotides long. NCBI's taxonomy places the organism in Eukaryota, Metazoa, Chordata, Mammalia, Primates, Galagidae. The record is from Ensembl.